Molecule: ribosomal RNA, 253 nt
Filed under: uncultured bacterium
Lineage: Bacteria
Description: partial 16S ribosomal RNA
Rfam family: Bacterial small subunit ribosomal RNA
Source: RNAcentral
UACGUAGGGCGCAAGCGUUGUCCGGAAUUAUUGGGCGUAAAGAGCUCGUAGGCGGUCUGUCGCGUCGGAUGUGAAAGCCCGGGGCUUAACCCCGGGUCUGCAUUCGAUACGGGCAGACUAGAGUGUGGUAGGGGAGAUCGGAAUUCCUGGUGUAGCGGUGAAAUGCGCAGAUAUCAGGAGGAACACCGGUGGCGAAGGCGGAUCUCUGGACGGUGACUGACGCUGAGACGCGAAAGCGUGGGGAGCAAACAGG